Molecule: long non-coding RNA, 1189 nt
Organism: Magallana angulata
Lineage: Eukaryota; Metazoa; Mollusca; Bivalvia; Ostreida; Ostreidae
Exons: 2
Source: RefSeq, a predicted model, not a curated record
CCACGUAUUACGUGAACACCAACCUGUCUGUUCUUUUGUUAUGCUAUAUUCUUUUUUCCUACGUUCAAAUAUCAGUCAACUUGGAUUUGAGUAUAUAAACCGCUUGAUGUUGAAUCAUGUAGAUUGAAGAGUUUUCCGUAACGUUAUGCUGUUCAGUGUUUGUUUCUACUUUUACUUUUGUUUCAAUGUUAAGCUACGCGCGCGCUGAUUGGUCGAUCAAUAGCUAGCCGCCAAUUUUCACAUUCGAUGCUGCCAUGUUGUCUGCCAUCACCGAGAUGGUAAAGUGAAUGAAAAUAAGGGAAUAAGGCUGUGCACAAGGUAAAAGAAACAUUGUCAAUUGAGUGUUUACUUUUGGAAAAUCCACGGCUAAACAGAGGACGAAUAUAAGUGAAGAAUCGAGUCUCAACACCCAAGGCCACUGCAUGCACCAUCUGCAUGAUCAUGAGCACGUUUUUGAAAAAGUGUCUGCCCUGGUGACUGGGUUACACAGACCUAAAGAAAACCAUGCAAAAAAAAAAAACCCACUGAUUUUAUGAUUAAAUGAUGCAACCAAAAAAGAGUGAAGACAGAAUUUGUGUAAGACUUACGUAGAAAAGCAUAUAAACAACAGUGCUGAAGUUUGACCAUUCCAUUGUGGGUAUUAUUGUGAUAUUCGGCUAUUUGUGUGAUAUUGUUUAUGUGUGAAAUUAAAUCGGAGAGCACGUACAGGAAACCGUCAUAAAAGACAUCGAGAAUGCCUUAAAGAAUCCGUGAUUAAUUGUAACAUGACCAGUGACCGUGCAGGGCUUAAUUGUGAACUACCGGUAAAAGUAUCGACCUAUUUUCCGAAAAAUAUGGUAUAUGGUUUGAACUCCGCUCAUUGUGAACUUUUGACAAGUCCAUCUGUGCAUGCAUGUUGUGAUCAAACUGCAUUCAAGUUUAUCGAUCUGCAGCAACAAAUCAUCACCUAUCGGUUGAGUACUAUUUGUCAAAUUUCAAUAUGGUUUGCUCAUCAGUUUUGUGUUUAUUUUUGAAAUUUAUAAAUUGUGUAAAAUUUUAAGUUAAUUACUUGUGUCCUUUAUCUCUAAUUUUGCUGCAACUGUUUAAGUUAAACAACAUCUUUGUCAAUCACCAGUAGAAGUUAUUUGUUAAUUGAUUGAAAAGCAUAGUACAUGUAUUAGUAACUCAUUAUUAAAUGAUUAUUAGUGUU